UACAGUUCUUCUUUAUCCUGGCGUGCUUUAAAAUAUAUGACGUCGCAAAGUAAAGGCAGAGAAGCACAAAACAAUCCAAUUAUUUGUCGCAGACACUCAGGCGUGCAUGGUCCACGGUUCAAUGAACGAAUCGACGCUGAAAAACAUCGAGAACAAGUAGCGGUUUUCGCAUACAAGUAAAUCAUUAGUACAUCCCUGGCAAAGAUGCGCGUGGGUUGCGGAUCGCACGUGUUCGCGAAUUUUCGAUGGCCGCGUCGCGGCCUCGUAAACAGCUUCUUGCCUCGUGAUACGGCGCGUUCCCGGUGGCUGCGGGCCGUUUUAGAAACUAUAAUGGAUUAUGGAAGGCGGCCCUCUCUUUCUCUCUCUCUCUCUCUCUCUCUCUCUCUCUCUCUCUCUCUCUCUCUCUCUCUCUCUCUCUCUCUCUGGCCCGGCUGGUGGUUGGUUGCACAGGCAGCAAGGAGGGCUUCCGUACCCGCUGAAAGAUCUAUGGCGGGGCGGUAGAUAAGCUAUGCUUCAUAAGCAGAGAUGUUAUCUUCAUAAAAGCCGCAGGUCGAUGCCUUCUUCCGCCGUAUACCACGGUAGUCGGCGGUCGUAUCGCGCCGCGUUAUGUACGGCUUGUACAUCACGAGAUAUACUGUAUGUUGCGUAUACCUGUAUAGCCUAUAUAUACCCCCCGGUAUACGGAUGCGCGUGCAUGCCGGAUAAACAGAACGCUGAUGGAUCUUCUUAAGCGAGACGAAAUUGAUUUUUGUACGAGAAAUAUUUAUUUUCCGUGCGUGGUUCGUAUAUUUGUUUGAGUCGAGGACGUCAAUUUAGAAAUAUGUCGCCCGGGAAGAUAUUACGCGCUUUGAGCAACCUUUCAAGCGCGUCUCGUGUAUCAGAUGAAAAAGUAAGUCCACUCCCUUCGCGCGAUCGUAGUUCACUUCGUCUAAUAAAGUGAGGUAUUAGCUAAUCUUUCACUGGAUUCUUUCAGUUUCGCCAUGCGAUUCUUCCUUCUCUAUUGCCGCAACUGCGCCGGCGUCCGCCGCGGCAGUAUUAUUUGUCGCACGUGCCGCGCGAUGUAAUAAAAAAAGUUUUUGCAAUUUCCAACCUGUGGCGUCCUUUAUCCCGAUCCCCGACCCUACCGUAAGCACGUAACGCGAGUAUUUCGUCGAGCUCUCACUCAGACGGUCUCCUUUUUGCGCCGCGGCGCAACCGACGACCGCGUCAAAAAGCGUCGGGUACAGUUUCUUGGACAGGGUCCAACGGUCGGACGGAGAAAUUGGUUUCAGCGCGAAACCGCGAAGCUCACAGUAAAUAGUCGUAUUUAAAGAAAAAGCUGAGCAGCGAUAAACGAACGACGUUGUGCGGAGCGGCUCCUACGCAAACUGUCCUCUUAGCCGCCUUGGCUUGCUCAGAAGCGCCAGUGAAAUUUUAAUAGAUGAGAAUUUUUCGCAUCGCCGGAACUUUUAAUGAACCGCAAGCCUUCGCCGCACCUGAAAAUGCCGACGCGCGUACUAUGUUUAUUCCCGAGUGAUCAAUACUGGAUGCAAUGGCCGAGUCACUAGGAGUCAGAAUCGAUAUCCUAUCGUGCUUUUACUGCAGAUCCGGUAAUAUCUCCGACGCGUUUUUCACAAACGCAAUAAUGCGAAUUCGAUAACGUCGAAGAAAACCAGCACGGAUUACAUAUGUCUGCGUAUAGCUCGCGCUUUUGCAUUGUAAUACUAUCAAUCAUUUUAUUGGACACACUAUUUAAAUUGUAGAGUACAUGUUACAAUAACAAUUAUAAUGAAACUAUAUAAAAAAUGCUGCAAAAUUGAUACAGCGUCACACCUCAAAUAGCUAGCGUUAAGUAAUUUUUCUUUGAAACAUGCACUUGUGUAUAACAAAGAAGCGAAAAAAAGAAGAAGGAAUAUUUUUUUCUUAACUAAAAUAAACUUAAUUUAAAGGUUAAUACCAUUAUAGUUUUCCACUAAUAAAUAUCGCACAUUUACGGAGAUAGAUUUAAUUUUGGUCUAGCUUUAAUAUAAAAAAUCUAAUUUAUCUAUUUCUGUUACACAUUAUACAACUUCCACGUUAGCAAUUAAUGUAAUUACGUUUCCUGUUGCAUGUAUGCGUUAUUAUUAAUUAUUAGCAAUUAAUGCAGCUCGUAAUAUUUCUAUUGAAUGACUGGAAAAUGAUUCGGGGUGAUACAAAACAUUUGAAAUACUAUAAACAUUGACAAGUAAUUAAUUACAAUCAAUACGUUAGCCUGCAAAUAUGUAACAUUCGAUGCACAAUAUGUGUCUCCCUGACGCAACAACAUUACGAGUUAUGACAGCAAUCUAUUCAUUCGCGAUUCACUCGCUUUCUCCGAGGUUUUUUGAGGAAAAGAGGGAAGGGGAACAUAGUUUAAUCCCGCUAUGAAUGUGUAAUUAAAAUUUGCGCAAGCUUGCGGUUAUUACGUGGAGAAUCCGCCGACACGUAAAAUCAUGCAAAAUGUCCAGCGUAAAAGCUUCGCCGUCAACUCGUCUCCGAACAGCGCACAGUUAAUGCACUGGAAGUGAAAUAGCAGCUGUUCCAAUUUGAAUUUCGGGAGGAAUACGAGCGCUAGGAAACAAACGUCGUUAACGUUUAUUUAUGAUAACAAAAAGAAAGGACGACAUGCCCGAUAAAUGCAUGCUGAUUAAAUCGUUGAUUAAAAACUUUAGGCAUGGCGGCUCGUUGUGUCCUACGAAAAAUUGCAAUUUGGAAUAAAUGAAGCAAAUAUAUAUGAAAAAAUAUAUAGGAAAAAAA
RNAcentral lists this long non-coding RNA (2754 nucleotides) under Monomorium pharaonis (pharaoh ant). RNAcentral describes it as "uncharacterized LOC114254424". Lineage: Eukaryota; Metazoa; Arthropoda; Insecta; Hymenoptera; Formicidae. The record is from RNAcentral.